This 254-nucleotide ribosomal RNA is filed under the name uncultured bacterium. Its description in RNAcentral is "partial 16S ribosomal RNA". It matches the Rfam family "Bacterial small subunit ribosomal RNA", at positions 524 to 776 of the family's 1533-position model. The record is from RNAcentral.
UACGAAGGGGGCUAGCGUUGCUCGGAAUCACUGGGCGUAAAGCGCACGUAGGCGGAUCGUUAAGUCGGAGGUGAAAUCCUGGAGCUCAACUCCAGAACUGCCUUCGAUACUGGCGAUCUUGGAGUCCGGGAGAGGUGAGUGGAACUCCGAGUGUAGAGGUGAAAUUCGUAGAUAUUCGGAAGAACACCAGUGGCGAAGGCGACACACUGGCCCGUUACUGACGCUGAGGCGCGAAAGCGUGGGGAGCAAACAGG